Tolumonas auensis DSM 9187 is the source of this 149-nucleotide regulatory RNA element. It matches the Rfam family "radC RNA". The record is from Rfam. NCBI's taxonomy places the organism in Bacteria, Pseudomonadati, Pseudomonadota, Gammaproteobacteria, Aeromonadales, Aeromonadaceae.
AGGCUUGCCCCAUGCUUGCUGACGUUGUCAGCGACAUGCCAGGCAACCAUCGGUCUUCGAGGUUGCGGCGCGGCACCCGCCGCGUGACCGAGCCAGUUCGCAACGCAUCCCUCCGUGCGAACGACCAUCGGCUUGCCGGUGGUGGAUGC